RNAcentral lists this non-coding RNA (56 nucleotides) under Burkholderia multivorans. Its description in RNAcentral is "Li+-I sequence". It matches the Rfam family "nhaA-I RNA". Rfam says of the family: Acidobacteria, Alphaproteobacteria, Betaproteobacteria and Gammaproteobacteria, Verrucomicrobia, cand. division NC10. Downstream gene The record is from RNAcentral. RNAcentral also lists the same sequence under 1 other name. Lineage: Bacteria; Pseudomonadati; Pseudomonadota; Betaproteobacteria; Burkholderiales; Burkholderiaceae.
GGGUGUUAGCUGCAUUCCGCAGCGAAACAGGUUCAUGCGUCGGUCGGGCCGCCACG